UACGGAGGAUGCAAGCGUUAUCCGGAAUGAUUGGGCGUAAAGCGUCCGCAGGUGGCUAUGUAAGUCUGCUGUUAAAGAGUGAGGCUCAACCUCAUAAGAGCAGUGGAAACUACAUGGCUAGAGUGCGUUCGGGGUAGAGGGAAUUCCUGGUGUAGCGGUGAAAUGCGUAGAGAUCAGGAAGAACACCGGUGGCGAAAGCGCUCUGCUAGGCCGCAACUGACACUGAGGGACGAAAGCUAGGGGAGCGAAUGGG
This 253-nucleotide ribosomal RNA is filed under the name uncultured bacterium. Its description in RNAcentral is "partial 16S ribosomal RNA". It matches the Rfam family "Bacterial small subunit ribosomal RNA", at positions 524 to 776 of the family's 1533-position model. The record is from RNAcentral.